RNAcentral lists this ribosomal RNA (330 nucleotides) under uncultured Anaerolineaceae bacterium. Its description in RNAcentral is "bacterial SSU rRNA". It matches the Rfam family "Bacterial small subunit ribosomal RNA", at positions 1039 to 1378 of the family's 1533-position model. The record is from RNAcentral. Lineage: Bacteria; Bacillati; Chloroflexota; Anaerolineae; Anaerolineales; Anaerolineaceae.
UGUUGCAUGGCUGUCGUCAGCUCGUGUCGUGAGAUGUUCGGUUAAGUCCGCUAACGAGCGCAACCCGCGUUGUGUGUUAUAUGUGUCACACAAUACCGCCGGUACUAAGCCGGAGGAAGGUGCGGAUGACGUCAAGUCAGCAUGACCUUUAUAUCCAGGGCUACACACACGCUACAAUGGACAGUACAACAGGUUGCCAAGCCGCGAGGCGGAGCCAAUCCUCUAAAGCUGUCCUCAGUUCAGAUUGCAGACUGCAACUCGCCUGCAUGAAGUUGGAGUUGCUAGUAACCGCAGGUCAGCUAUACUGGGGUGAAUACGUUCCCGGGGAUU